RNAcentral lists this ribosomal RNA (1454 nucleotides) under uncultured bacterium. RNAcentral describes it as "SSU rRNA". It matches the Rfam family "Bacterial small subunit ribosomal RNA". The record is from RNAcentral.
AGGGUUUGAUUUUGGUUCAGAACGAACGCUGGCGGCGCGGAUAAGACAUGCAAGUCGAACGAGAGAAUUGCUAGCUUGCUAAUAAUUCUCUAGUGGCGCACGGGUGAGUAACACGUGAGUAACCUGCCCCCGAGAGCGGGAUAGCCCUGGGAAACUGGGAUUAAUACCGCAUAGUAUCGAAAGAUUAAAGCAGCAAUGCGCUUGGGGAUGGGCUCGCGGCCUAUUAGUUAGUUGGUGAGGUAACGGCUCACCAAGGCGAUGACGGGUAGCCGGUCUGAGAGGAUGUCCGGCCACACUGGAACUGAGACACGGUCCAGACACCUACGGGUGGCAGCAGUCGAGAAUCAUUCACAAUGGGGGAAACCCUGAUGGUGCGACGCCGCGUGGGGGAAUGAAGGUCUUCGGAUUGUAAACCCCUGUCAUGUGGGAGCAAAUUAAAAAGAUAGUACCACAAGAGGAAGAGACGGCUAACUCUGUGCCAGCAGCCGCGGUAAUACAGAGGUCUCAAGCGUUGUUCGGAAUCACUGGGCGUAAAGCGUGCGUAGGCUGUUUCGUAAGUCGUGUGUGAAAGGCGCGGGCUCAACCCGCGGACGGCACAUGAUACUGCGAGACUAGAGUAAUGGAGGGGGAACCGGAAUUCUCGGUGUAGCAGUGAAAUGCGUAGAUAUCGAGAGGAACACUCGUGGCGAAGGCGGGUUCCUGGACAUUAACUGACGCUGAGGCACGAAGGCCAGGGGAGCGAAAGGGAUUAGAUACCCCUGUAGUCCUGGCAGUAAACGGUGCACGCUUGGUGUGCGGGGAAUCGACCCCCUGCGUGCCGGAGCUAACGCGUUAAGCGUGCCGCCUGGGGAGUACGGUCGCAAGAUUAAAACUCAAAGAAAUUGACGGGGACCCGCACAAGCGGUGGAGUAUGUGGCUUAAUUCGAUGCAACGCGAAGAACCUUACCUGGGCUUGACAUGUAAUGAACAACAUGUGAAAGCAUGCGACUCUUCGGAGGCGUUACACAGGUGCUGCAGGGCCGUCGUCAGCUCGUGUCGUGAGAUGUUUGGUUAAGUCCAGCAACGAGCGCAACCCCUGUUGCCAGUUACCAGCACGUGAAGGUGGGGACUCUGGCGAGACUGCCCAGAUCAACUGGGAGGAAGGUGGGGACGACGUCAGGUCAGUAUGGCCCUUAUGCCCAGGGCUGCACACGUACUACAAUGCCCAGUACAGAGGGGGCCGAAGCCGCGAGGCGGAGGAAAUCCUAAAAACUGGGCCCAGUUCGGACUGUAGGCUGCAACCCGCCUACACGAAGCCGGAAUCGCUAGUAAUGGCGCAUCAGCUACGGCGCCGUGAAUACGUUCCCGGGUCUUGUACACACCGCCCGUCACAUCAUGGAAGCCGGUCGCACCCGAAGUAUCUGAAGCCAACCGCAAGGAGGCAGGGUCCUAAGGUGAGACUGGUAACUGGGAUG